CAAGUCCUGGAGAAACAGCAGUGGAUUCCCCUGCCUUACUUCACCCCUAAACUGGUCUCCUGCAUGUGUCUCUCACAUAAGGAGCUCUGAUUGCUCUCCUUCUCUUCUGUUGAGAACAUCCAAGGAAAUGGCAUUCAGAAGAGAGUUAAAGAAGGAGGAGAACAAAGGAGCACAGGACUUGGUGUACACAGGAAAAUUUUGGUCUCACAGCUCUGUUGAGACUAUAUUGUCUUCUAGAAUCAUAACUGUGCUGGCAAAAUUUCUACUUCAUAUGCG
This is a long non-coding RNA of Passer montanus (Eurasian tree sparrow), 276 nucleotides long. RefSeq lists it as uncharacterized. The record is from RefSeq and is a predicted model, not a curated record. The transcript is spliced from 3 exons. Lineage: Eukaryota; Metazoa; Chordata; Aves; Passeriformes; Passeridae.